This 497-nucleotide ribosomal RNA is filed under the name uncultured bacterium. RNAcentral's name for it is "partial 16S ribosomal RNA". It matches the Rfam family "Bacterial small subunit ribosomal RNA", at positions 28 to 507 of the family's 1533-position model. The record is from RNAcentral.
GAUGAACGCUGGCGGCGUGCCUAAUACAUGCAAGUCGAGCGAACAGAUGAGGAGCUUGCUCCUCUGACGUUAGCGGCGGACGGGUGAGUAACACGUGGAUAACCUACCUAUAAGACUGGGAUAACUUCGGGAAACCGGAGCUAAUACCGGAUAAUAUAUUGAACCGCAUGGUUCAAUAGUGAAAGACGGUUUUGCUGUCACUUAUAGAUGGAUCCGCGCCGCAUUAGCUAGUUGGUAAGGUAACGGCUUACCAAGGCAACGAUGCGUAGCCGACCUGAGAGGGUGAUCGGCCACACGGGAACGGAGACACGGUCCAGACUCCUACGGGAGGCAGCAGUAGGGAAUCUUCCGCAAUGGGCGAAAGCCUGACGGAGCAACGCCGCGUGAGUGAUGAAGGUCUUCGGAUCGUAAAACUCUGUUAUUAGGGAAGAACAAAUGUGUAAGUAACUAUGCACGUCUUGACGGUACCUAAUCAGAAAGCCACGGCUAACUACGUG